RNAcentral lists this ribosomal RNA (993 nucleotides) under human oral metagenome. Its description in RNAcentral is "bacterial LSU rRNA". It matches the Rfam family "Bacterial large subunit ribosomal RNA", at positions 1934 to 2925 of the family's 2925-position model. The record is from RNAcentral.
CCGUAACUAUAACGGUCCUAAGGUAGCGAAAUUCCUUGUCGGGUAAGUUCCGACCUGCACGAAUGGCAUAAUGAUGGCCAGGCUGUCUCCACCCGAGACUCAGUGAAAUUGAAAUCGCCGUGAAGAUGCGGUGUACCCGCGGCUAGACGGAAAGACCCCGUGAACCUUUACUAUAGCUUGACACUGAACAUUGAAUUUUGAUGUGUAGGAUAGGUGGGAGACUUUGAAGUAGUCACGCCAGUGAUUAUGGAGUCGUCCUUGAAAUACCACCCUUUAACGUUUGAUGUUCUAACGAAGAUUACGAAACGUGGUCUCGGACAGUGUCUGGUGGGUAGUUUGACUGGGGCGGUCUCCUCCCAAAGAGUAACGGAGGAGCACGAAGGUUUGCUAAUGACGGUCGGACAUCGUCAGGUUAGUGCAAUGGUAUAAGCAAGCUUAACUGCGAGACAGACAAGUCGAGCAGGUACGAAAGUAGGUCAUAGUGAUCCGGUGGUUCUGAAUGGAAGGGCCAUCGCUCAACGGAUAAAAGGUACUCCGGGGAUAACAGGCUGAUACCGCCCAAGAGUUCAUAUCGACGGCGGUGUUUGGCACCUCGAUGUCGGCUCAUCACAUCCUGGGGCUGAAGUAGGUCCCAAGGGUAUGGCUGUUCGCCAUUUAAAGUGGUACGCGAGCUGGGUUUAGAACGUCGUGAGACAGUUCGGUCCCUAUCUGCCGUGGGCGUUGGAGAAUUGAUUGGGGCUGCUCCUAGUACGAGAGGACCGGAGUGGACGCACCACUGGUGUUCCGGUUGUGUCGCCAGACGCAUUGCCGGGUAGCUAAGUGCGGAAGAGAUAAGUGCUGAAAGCAUCUAAGCACGAAACUUGCCAAGAGAUGAGUUCUCCCAGAUUACAAAUCUGUAAGGGUUGUUUAAGACUAAGACGUAGAUAGGUCUGGUGUGUAAGCGGUGCGAGCCGUUGAGCUAACAGAUACUAAUUGCCCGAGAGGCUUAACUAU